RNAcentral lists this long non-coding RNA (220 nucleotides) under Elaeis guineensis (African oil palm). RNAcentral describes it as "long non-coding RNA (EGUI_LNC027762)". Lineage: Eukaryota; Viridiplantae; Streptophyta; Magnoliopsida; Arecales; Arecaceae. The record is from RNAcentral.
UAUCUCAACAUAACCUAGGCAUCAUCAUAUAUACAAGAUUAAGAUAAGUAAAAAUAAAAAUCUAUUUUUUAUCUUUGCGUGGAUAGAUCUUCAUCAUGAUCUGAUGAUCUAUGGAUAUCUUCAUGAUCCAUUGAAGCUAUAAUCUGAUGACCUAUAGAUGUCUCCAAAGUUUUUUUGAAGCCACACAAGUAUCCAAUCUCUACAGGUACCCACACGAGGC